This 218-nucleotide unclassified non-coding RNA is filed under the name soil metagenome. RNAcentral describes it as "partial contains 5.8S ribosomal RNA, internal transcribed spacer 2, and large subunit ribosomal RNA". The record is from RNAcentral.
AACCUAGCACACCUGCGGUGUGUACCUGCGGAAGGAUCAUUACCGAGUUUACAACUCCCAAACCCAUGUGAACAUACCUAUCGUUGCUUCGGCGGAUCGCCCCGGGCGCCUUGCGUGCCCCGGAUCCAGGCGGCCGCCGGGGGACCUUAACUCUUGUUUUUACUGAGAAUCUUCUGAGUCGUUUUUACAAAUAAAUAAAAACUUUCAACAACGGAUCU